UGGAUAUGAUCCAACGAUUAAUAACAAUAAUAGAAAAACUACACCGAAUUAACUUCAUCUUCUCUUUAAUCUUCCCAAACAAAGAAGAAAAAAACCAGACAAAUCCUAAACACACAACAAAGAAAAUCAGACAAAAAUCAGAGAGAUAUUUAGGAACCUCUUCGUGGUCAUCUUCAAGUGAUAGCUAGGUUUGUGCUCUUCGAGUGAUGAAGAAUGAUUGAAGAUAUUCGUCGAUGAAUCGAAGCCAUAGUCUAUGGCAGUGACAUGACGAAUUGUUAUUUGGGUUUGUUGUAAUUGAGGUGAAAAUGGUUGUGUUAAUGUUAAGAAUGAAAAUUAGGGUUUUUGAUGGCUGAGUUUGAUUUCAAGAUUGAGAAAUUGGUGAUUUCUGGCAGAAUGGCAAUGGAGAGAUAGGGUUGUUGUUGAUCUAAAUAAAAGAUGGGUUUUGUUAGGAACUAAAUCUGUUGGUGAAUUUGAUUCAGAGAUAUGGUGGAUGAGUUAGGUUUCAGAGGUUGUGGUUGUGAAUUUGCAGUGACUAGAUGUAUGUUUAGGUUGGCUGUGAGACAGAAGACAAGCAGUGGGGUUUGUUUUUGAGCUAAUGAGCUUUAUGCUGAGAUUAACUAAGAAAGUGUGCAUGCAGAAGUGAUGUGGUUCAGUUGGCUAAAAUGGUUGCGAAACAAUCUUGUUGCAGUAAUUGCAGGUGGAGAUAAAAUGGCUAGGAAGUGGUGGUUAAUAGCGGAUCGGGUUAAGAGGUGCAAGAUGGUGAUAACAGUUGUGGUUCUGAUAUGAUGCAGUGAGAAUUCAGGUGUAGUUCAGCUGGUCUUCCUGCUACUGUUGGUGUCUGCCAGAGAAACAAGAAGGAAAUAGUUGAGAUGGUGGUGCUGGUGUGAAGGCAGAGUCUGAGCACCUGAAGCUAAGAAUAAGUUACAGUUGGAAUGCAUGUCUGCAGGUUUGAGUUUGCGAGCUCAGUAUGGUGGGUUUGAGUUUGCGAGCUCAGUCUGGUGAUAGAGAGGAAAAUGAAGUUUGCAAUGGUUGUGAUAAACGGGCAAAGGAAACGAUGGUGGUGGCUGCGGAAGUGAUGUGUUAAGAGAAGAAAAGUUUUCCUAAAUUAUUUUGAUGUAAUGUAAAUGUUAAUAAAGUGAAGGGUAUCCUUGUAAUCUGGUUUCACAUUUUAAUUUUACUAGAUUUGUGCCCGGUGCGUAUUUUUACUUUUAA
Molecule: long non-coding RNA, 1212 nt
Organism: Papaver somniferum (opium poppy)
Lineage: Eukaryota; Viridiplantae; Streptophyta; Magnoliopsida; Ranunculales; Papaveraceae
Exons: 2
Source: RefSeq, a predicted model, not a curated record